GCUGAACGCUGGCGGCAUGCUUUACACAUGCAAGUCGAACGGCAGCGCGGGCUUCGGCCUGGCGGCGAGUGGCGAACGGGUGAGUAAUGCAUCGGAACGUGCCCAGUAGUGGGGGAUAGCCCGGCGAAAGCCGGAUUAAUACCGCAUACGACCUGAGGGUGAAAGCGGGGGACCGAAAGGCCUCGCGCUAUUGGAGCGGCCGAUGUCGGAUUAGCUAGUUGGUGGGGUAAAGGCUUACCAAGGCGACGAUCCGUAGCUGGUCUGAGAGGACGACCAGCCACACUGGGACUGAGACACGGCCCAGACUCCUACGGGAGGCAGCAGUGGGGAAUUUUGGACAAUGGGGGCAACCCUGAUCCAGCCAUGCCGCGUGCGGGAAGAAGGCCUUCGGGUUGUAAACCGCUUUUGUUCGGGAAGAAAUCCUCUGGGCUAAUACCCCGGGGGGAUGACGGUACCGGAAGAAUAAGCACCGGCUAACUACGU
Molecule: ribosomal RNA, 483 nt
Filed under: uncultured bacterium
Lineage: Bacteria
Description: partial 16S ribosomal RNA
Rfam family: Bacterial small subunit ribosomal RNA
Source: RNAcentral